CUGCUGCUGCCGCUGCCUGCAGAGAGCAGGGGCGCAGAUGGGAAGAGGCUGCAGCUGCGGGGCAGGUGCCAUCCCCCGCUGCCGCAGGAGGGGCAGCAGCCCCCUCGGGCAGCUCGCCGGCUCAGGCGGGGAUUUGGUUGUGACAGCCCAGCUCCAUGUCGGGGCAUGCAAGUCGCAGGAGGCUGCACUUGGCAGAAGCUGCUGCCAGAGAAAGGGGCCAAGGAGCAACUGAGCAUGGAUGCUUCUACAGAGGGGAUGUGGAGUGUGACACGGGAAACAACCAAGUGCCAAGAUCUUGAUCCAGCCCCAGAGCUGCUAACUGCCGAUUAUCCCAAGAUACCGCUGGAGAAGGCUUAUGGAUUUAACCUUCAGGAACUGAAUUUGAAAAAAGAUGUUCCCGCAGAAUAAGACAAUCAUCUGUGGGUAGCUGACUACUCUUGGCUUUCUCUACCCGUUCCAGUGGUACCAUGCAGUGGACAGGUGCGAAAACUGGCUGGUCCCACAAGGAGACAGCCAAAGGCUGAAACUUGCCAAGUAACCGUAUCAUUUUUUGGGAAAUGGCCAGCACUGCUGCUGCCCAGUUGGCACAAAAGACUUAAUCAGCUGGGCACUCAUCUGGGGUCAGUAUUUUCCUCUGGACCGAGAUCUGGUAUUUCCUCCAUUCCUACCACUACGGUCAGAGCUCUCUACUCGUGUACUGUAUCAGGUUUAUGCCUGGAAAUUAAGUUGUUAAAUCUAACCAUUUCAGCAUCUAAAGCAUCCUUUUGCCCUUUGUCAGAGAGCCGUCUUCGUCUCAUCAGCCGUAUUCCUGAGGAAAGAAUUGUUUGUUAGGAUGCAGGCUGAGCAAAUGGAAGAUGCUUCUACUUAUUGUUCAUUUCUAUGGCAGGAAUGACAAAUAGGGUACUUUGCCUUUGUUUUUUUUGUAACUGGAUGCUUGUGUAAACAAACAAAUUUAAACCACAUUUAGAACAUAUAAAAUGAUCUUUCUGUGGUCAGCUGAUGAAUCUAUUCAAAAAAGUCUUUCCAUAAGAAUCCUCCUCUACCACAAAAGCGUUAUGUUAUUUCUUUAAAUUUCAGGUGUAUUCAUUUUUUAUCACUCUCUUAUCCUGAUGUAGGUUAUUAAGAAGUUUCAAUUUUGUUUAGAAUUCUCUACUACAACUGAAUCCAUCACUACUCUAAAGAUACAGAUAUGCCAGAACUGAGUGAUUAAAACAAUACAUUAUGAAUAAACACUUUUGUAUUUCCA
RNAcentral lists this long non-coding RNA (1246 nucleotides) under Struthio camelus australis. RNAcentral describes it as "lncRNA (ENSSCUG00000012377.1)". Lineage: Eukaryota; Metazoa; Chordata; Aves; Struthioniformes; Struthionidae. The record is from RNAcentral.